AACGAACGCUGGCGGCAUGCCUAACACAUGCAAGUCGAACGAGACCUUCGGGUCUAGUGGCGCACGGGUGCGUAACGCGUGGGAACCUGCCCUUAGGUUCGGAAUAACUCCCCGAAAGGGGUGCUAAUACCGGAUAAUGUCUUCGGACCAAAGAUUUAUCGCCUUUGGAUGGGCCCGCGUUGGAUUAGCUAGUUGGUAGGGUAAAAGCCUACCAAGGCGACGAUCCAUAGCUGGUCUGAGAGGAUGAUCAGCCACACUGGGACUGAGACACGGCCCAGACCACCACCGGAGGGCGGCGUGGGGGAAAAUGGACAAUGGGCGAAAGCCUGAUCCAGCAAUGCCGCGUGAGUGAUGAAGGCCUUAGGGUUGUAAAGCUCUUUUACCCGGGAUGAUAAUGACAGUACCGGGAGAAUAAGCUCCGGCUAACUCCGUG
RNAcentral lists this ribosomal RNA (433 nucleotides) under uncultured bacterium. RNAcentral's name for it is "partial 16S ribosomal RNA". It matches the Rfam family "Bacterial small subunit ribosomal RNA", at positions 29 to 507 of the family's 1533-position model. The record is from RNAcentral.